AUUCGUCCAAGUGAAGCAGAGGACAGUGGCGGACGGGUGAGUAACGCGUGAGGAACCUGCCUUUCAGAGGGGGACAACAGUUGGAAACGACUGCUAAUACCGCAUGAUGUUACCGGAGGGCAUCCUUUGGUAACCAAAGAUUUAUCGCUCUGAGAUGGGCUCAUGUCUGAUUAGAUAGUUGGCGGGGUAACGGCCCACCAAGGCGACGAUCAGUAGCCGGCCUGAGAGGGUGAUCGGCCACAUUGGGACUGAGACACGGCCCAAACUCC
Molecule: ribosomal RNA, 269 nt
Filed under: uncultured bacterium
Lineage: Bacteria
Description: partial 16S ribosomal RNA
Rfam family: Bacterial small subunit ribosomal RNA
Source: RNAcentral